CCUGGGUACGAGCCUGAGCUGUUGAUGAGUAAACUCAUCAAUCAAUAUGACUCUCUAAGGUAUUACGCAAGUCAAAAAAGGAAACCGAAGCUGUCGUGCACUUGUGGGAGGGUGGUCUCAUCCCUGAGAUGGUUUACAAAGGGACAUACACUGUAAGAUUUGAGUGCGUGUGUAAUUCACUACGGUACUUGCGGAGAGCGCGAUUAAACUCAAGCGGCAAGUUCACCAUCUAAUGGCAAAAACAUGUGUGCAUAUCACCGCCAACGGAAGAACAAGGAAAUGACGUGUGACAGAUGACGAAGCACUUUUAAUCCGAUACAAUUGCCUGAGAAGUGUGGGGAAAUUCGCGACCUUUUGCUGAGCAUCUCCGUAAAACUGGCGAAACUUAUGCGAUCGUUUAUCUUUCUGCGUUGCUCCGACUGAGAUGUUUCGUUGGCUGCGGGAAAAAUCUUGAAUUGCGUCCAAGCUGAGCAUUUUGCGGUCAUUAUCGCAGCCGGAUUGCGGAUAACCGCAGUCAAAGUUUGAACUUAGAACACGAAAAUAAAUUCCAAGGAUGAGUAUUGAAGCAAAAAUCAUAGCUGUGUUUUUUUGUCGUUUAUCUUUGUCUUGUUUGUAAUCGUUCACGCCAUUGUCGUGGGGAAGAGCCAGGAAACUCAUUUGUCAAAUAACGGAAACACAACAUCCUUUUCAAAGCCUGAAAAGAGAUGCUCCUUUAUUUUUUGUGAUACCGCGUUGUUACUGUUGACUGUAAAAUCAUUUUAAAACCGUCAUUCAACAUGGGCCCCCACGGACAAAAAUUUUCUUGGAAAUUGCGAUUGAAUCAAAAUAUUACUUGAGAUGUUUUUGUUUUUGAUAUAAAUUUAAAAACAAAUCUAAUAAAAACUCUGAGUACGUACGAGGUCGUCGUGUGUGAGAUAAACUCGCGCUUAUACAAAUAUUUUCGCGACAGGGCUAUCACUGUGCAUUACUCGAGACAACAUUCAGACGGUUUGGUCAGUGUCUGGGCUGAUCGUCAAGACCCUAUUUGACGCCAUAAAGAACGUGCUGAUCUCAAAACAACUCUACUCAACUGUGUCACAACUCUGGACCUCGUAAAGGACGCGAGCUGUUUGAAACAGUCGGCCCCACGUGCGUCUGAAAUAUGAGUCUAGUGAGCACUGCUUCCGGUAUAACGAGGGAUAUGCCACAAGGGCACCAACAGCAAUCCUCGAACAUGUCAAGAGCUCUGCUUUGGGGUCAAUGACAUAGUUCCCA
Nematostella vectensis (starlet sea anemone) is the source of this 1254-nucleotide long non-coding RNA. RefSeq lists it as uncharacterized. The record is from RefSeq and is a predicted model, not a curated record. The transcript is spliced from 3 exons. Lineage: Eukaryota; Metazoa; Cnidaria; Anthozoa; Actiniaria; Edwardsiidae.